UGACUGAUGAAUUGAUGAUCCGCUCGAUGUGCGCGCGCAGGGUCGCGACCCGCGUGUUGACGCAGUAGACGGCGCGCUCACUCCCGAAGGGGUGGACCUUUGUGGCCCCGACCCCCACCGCCGGCCCGCUAAGCCGGGAUCGGCCCCGCCCACCACGCAUGUCAUCCAAGGAUGGCUGAGACACGCCGAAUUCCAACACAACGGCGAGCUAGGUCUGAGGUUCCGGUCGCAUCCGGGUUCCUGGAGCGACCUCUGUCCUGAUGAAAAGCCGCGGAUAUCUUCCCGAGGAGCUGAAAUUGCCCCCCCCCCCUGUAAAGUGC
Hippocampus comes (tiger tail seahorse) is the source of this 320-nucleotide long non-coding RNA. RefSeq lists it as uncharacterized. The transcript has 3 exons. The record is from RefSeq and is a predicted model, not a curated record. NCBI's taxonomy places the organism in Eukaryota, Metazoa, Chordata, Actinopteri, Syngnathiformes, Syngnathidae.